GUCGCACGAGAACGGGGUAGCAAUAUCCCUAGUAAAGUGGCGGAAGGGUGAGCAAUAGGUAGAUGACGUACCCUGAAGAUGGGGAUAACGCGCCGAAAGGUGCGCUAAUACCCGAUAUGACCACGAGUUUAAAGACUUGUGGUAAAAUGCGGAGGACCUUUGGGCUUCGCGCUUUAGGAUCGGUCUACUUCCUACCAGCUAGUUGGCGGGGUAAUGGCCCACCAAGGCUACGACGGGUACCCGGGCUAAGAGGCUGACCGGGCACAUCGGCACUGAAACACUGGCCGGACACCUACGGGUGGCUGCAGUUCGGAAUAUUCGGCAAUGGACGAAAGUCUGACCGAGCGACGCCGCGUGAAGGAUGAAGGCCCUUUGGGUUGUAAACUUCUGUCAGGGGUGAGCAAAUCGGUUUACGCUAAUAACGUAGAUCGUUGAGUUAGGCCCUAAAGGAAGCCCCCGCUAAUCACGUGCCAGCAGCGGCGGUAAUACGUGAGGGGCGAACGUUGUUCGGUGUCACUGGGCUUAAAGGGCGCGUAGGCGGCUUUGCAAGUAAGGUGUGAAAUCCCCCGGCUUACCCGGGGAACUGCAUCUUAAACUGCAUAGCUUGAGGACCAGAGAGGUGGGAGGAACUCCAGGUGUAGCGGUGAAAUGCGUAGAUAUCUGGGGGAAGGCCGGAGGCGAAGGCGUCCCACUGGCUGGUUCCUGACGCUGAGGCGCGAAAGCGUGGGGAGCAAACAGGAUUAGAUACCCUGGUAGUCCACGCCCUAAACGAUGGAUACUAAGCGGGAGGCCCCCUAGGGUUUCCUGCCGUAGCGAAAGCGUUAAGUAUCCCGCCUGGGGAGUAUGGUCGCAAGGCUGAAACUCAAAGGAAUUGACGGGGGCUCACACAAGCGGUGGAGCAUGUUGCUCAAUUCGAUGCAACGCGAAGAACCUUACCCGGGCACGAAGCGUACGGAUUAACUCUAUGAAAGUAGAGCGACGACUUACCGUG
Molecule: ribosomal RNA, 991 nt
Filed under: uncultured Planctomycetota bacterium
Lineage: Bacteria; Pseudomonadati; Planctomycetota
Description: bacterial SSU rRNA
Rfam family: Bacterial small subunit ribosomal RNA
Source: RNAcentral